RNAcentral lists this ribosomal RNA (253 nucleotides) under uncultured bacterium. Its description in RNAcentral is "partial 16S ribosomal RNA". It matches the Rfam family "Bacterial small subunit ribosomal RNA", at positions 524 to 776 of the family's 1533-position model. The record is from RNAcentral.
UACGUAGGUGGCAAGCGUUGUCCGGAAUUAUUGGGCGUAAAGCGCGCGCAGGCGGCCUCUUAAGUCUGACGUGAAAGCCCCCGGCUCAACCGGGGAGGGCCAUUGGAAACUGGGAGGCUUGAGUAUAGGAGAGAAGAGUGGAAUUCCACGUGUAGCGGUGAAAUGCGUAGAGAUGUGGAGGAACACCAGUGGCGAAGGCGACUCUUUGGCCUAUAACUGACGCUCAUGCACGAAAGCGUGGGGAGCAAACAGG